UACGGGGGGGGCAAGCGUUGUUCGGAAUUACUGGGCGUAAAGGGCCAGUAGGCGGCAAACUAAGUCGGAUGUGAAAUCCCCAGGCUCAACUUGGGAACUGCAUCCGAUACUGGAUGGCUUGAAUCCGGGAGAGGGAUGCGGAAUUCCAGGUGUAGCGGUGAAAUGCGUAGAUAUCUGGAGGAACACCGGUGGCGAAGGCGGCAUCCUGGACCGGUAUUGACGCUGAGGCGCGAAAGCCAGGGGAGCAAACGGG
This 253-nucleotide ribosomal RNA is filed under the name uncultured bacterium. Its description in RNAcentral is "partial 16S ribosomal RNA". It matches the Rfam family "Bacterial small subunit ribosomal RNA", at positions 524 to 776 of the family's 1533-position model. The record is from RNAcentral.